Molecule: ribosomal RNA, 426 nt
Filed under: uncultured Bacillota bacterium
Lineage: Bacteria; Bacillati; Bacillota
Description: bacterial SSU rRNA
Rfam family: Bacterial small subunit ribosomal RNA
Source: RNAcentral
AGGGAAUCUUCCACAAUGGACGCAAGUCUGAUGGAGCAACGCCGCGUGAGUGAAGAAGGUUUUCGGAUCGUAAAGCUCUGUUGUUGGUGAAGAAGGAUAGAGGUAGUAACUGGCCUUUAUUUGACGGUAAUCAACCAGAAAGUCACGGCUAACUACGUGCCAGCAGCCGCGGUAAUACGUAGGGAGCGAGCGUUGUCCGGAUUUACUGGGUGUAAAGGGUGCGUAGGCGGCUUGGCAAGUCAGUUGUGAAAACUAUGGGCUCAACCCAUAGCCUGCAAUUGAAACUGUUGAGCUUGAGUGAAGUAGAGGUAGGUGGAAUUCCCGGUGUAGCGGUGAAAUGCGUAGAGAUCGGGAGGAACACCAGUGGCGAAGGCGGCUUUCUGGACGACAACUGACGCUGAGGCGCGAAAGCCAGGGGAGCAAACG